AACCAGCCAUGCCGCGUGCAGGAAGACGGCCCUAUGCGUUGUAAACUGCUUUUAUACGAGAAUAAAAAGAGCUACGUGUACACAGCUUGAAAGUACCGUAAGAAUAAGGAUCGGCUAACUCCGUGCCAGCAGCCGCGGUAAUACGGAGGAUCCAAGCGUUAUCCGGAUUUAUUGGGUUUAAAGGGUGCGUAGGCGGUUCGGUAAGUUAGAGGUGAAAGCCCGUUGCUCAACAACGGAACUGCCUCUGAUACUGUCGGGCUAGAGAGUGGUUGCCGUAGGCGGAAUGUGUGGUGUAGCGGUGAAAUGCUUAGAGAUCACACAGAACACCGAUUGCGAAGGCAGCUUACGAAGCCACAUCUGACGCUGAUGCACGAAAGCGUGGGGAGCAAACAGGAUUAGAUACCCUGGUAGUCCACGCCGUAAACGAUGAUAGCUCGUUGUCGGCGAUAUACGAUCGGUGACUUAGCGAAAGCGUUAAGCUAUCCACCUGGGGAGUACGUUCGCAAGAAUGAAACUCAAAGGAAUUGACGGGGGCCCGCACAAGCGGAGGAACAUGUGGUUUAAUUCGAUGAUACGCGAGGAACCUUACCCGGGCUUGAAAGUUGAGUGACGAAUCUGGAAACAGAACUUCCCUUCGGGGCACGAAACUAGGUGCUGCAUGGUUGUCGUCAGCUCGUGCCGUGAGGUGUCGGGUUAAGUCCCAUAACGAGCGCAACCCCUACUGUUAGUUGCCAUCGGGUGAUGCCGGGAACUCUAUCAGGACUGCCGGUGUAAACCGUGAGGAAGGUGGGGAUGACGUCAAAUCAGCAC
This 810-nucleotide ribosomal RNA is filed under the name uncultured Bacteroidales bacterium. RNAcentral describes it as "bacterial SSU rRNA". It matches the Rfam family "Bacterial small subunit ribosomal RNA", at positions 386 to 1196 of the family's 1533-position model. Lineage: Bacteria; Pseudomonadati; Bacteroidota; Bacteroidia; Bacteroidales. The record is from RNAcentral.